CAGUAGCCGCGGUAAUACGUAGGGUGCGAGCGUUAAUCGGAAUUACUGGGCGUAAAGCGUGCGCAGGCGGUUAUAUAAGACAGAUGUGAAAUCCCCGGGCUCAACCUGGGACCUGCAUUUGUGACUGUAUAGCUAGAGUACGGUAGAGGGGGAUGGAAUUCCGCGUGUAGCAGUGAAAUGCGUAGAUAUGUGGAGGAACACCGAUGGCGAAGGCAAUCCCCUGGACCUGUACUGACGCUCAUGCACGAAAGCGUGGGGAGCAAACAGGAUUAGAUACCCCCGUAGUCCCUGUCUCUUAUAC
This 301-nucleotide ribosomal RNA is filed under the name uncultured bacterium. Its description in RNAcentral is "partial 16S ribosomal RNA". It matches the Rfam family "Bacterial small subunit ribosomal RNA", at positions 509 to 807 of the family's 1533-position model. The record is from RNAcentral.